GGCGACUCGCCGAAUGAGUUUCUGACCUAUCAACUCGAGACGGCGGGGUAGAGGCCCGCCGCGGUAACGACGGGUAACGGGGAAUCAGGGUUCGAUUCCGGAGAGGGAGCCCGAGAAACGGCUACCACUUCCAAGGAAGGCAGCAGGCGCGCAACUUACCCUAAUCUCGAUUCGAGGAGGUAGUGACAAGAAAUACCGAUGCGGGACCCUACGGGUGCCGCGUUCGGAAUGAGUACGAUUCGAACCACCUAACGAGGAACGUUCGGAGGGCAAGUCUGGUGCCAGCAGCCGCGGUAAUUCCAGCUCCAAUAGCGUACGUUAAAGUUGCUGCAGUUAAAAAGCUCGUAGUUGAACGUUCGGGUUCCGCGGGACGGGGCCGCCCCGCGAGGGACGGCGCCGCCCCGGGGCUCGUGAUAUCUUAUCUCGCCGCCCGUCGCGAGGCGGACGGAGGGGAUGGAUGAGGUUACCUGGAAAAAA
Molecule: ribosomal RNA, 477 nt
Filed under: uncultured eukaryote
Lineage: Eukaryota
Description: bacterial SSU rRNA
Rfam family: Eukaryotic small subunit ribosomal RNA
Source: RNAcentral